This 538-nucleotide ribosomal RNA is filed under the name uncultured Alphaproteobacteria bacterium. RNAcentral's name for it is "bacterial SSU rRNA". It matches the Rfam family "Bacterial small subunit ribosomal RNA", at positions 10 to 578 of the family's 1533-position model. The record is from RNAcentral. Lineage: Bacteria; Pseudomonadati; Pseudomonadota; Alphaproteobacteria.
AGUUUAGUCAUGGCUCAGGAUGAACGCUAGCGGGAGGCUUAAUACAUGCAAGUCGAACGGUAACAGUCCGAACCUAGUUUGGAGCUGACGAGUGGCGCACGGGUGAGUAACGCGUACGUACCUGCCUUAUACUGAGGGACACACACUGGAAACGGAGUAAAUACCUCAUAGUCUCGUAAGAGUAAAGCUUAGGCGGUAUAAGAUGGACGUGCGUUAGAUUAGGUAGUUGGUGAGGUAGAGGCUCACCAAGCCGACGAUCUAUAGGGGGCGUGAGAGCGUGAUCCCCCACACGGGUACUGAGACACGGACCCGACUCCUACGGGAGGCAGCAGUAAGGAAUAUUGGACAAUGGGCGCAAGCCUGAUCCAGCCAUGCCGCGUGAGUGACGAAGGCCUUAGGGUUGUAAAACUCUUUCGCUAGGGAAGAUAAUGACGGUACCUAGUAAAGAAGCCCCGGCUAACUCCGUGCCAGCAGCCGCGGUAAUACGGAGGGGGCUAGCGUUGUUCGGAAUCACUGGGCGUAAAGCGCGCGUAGGCGG